Molecule: ribosomal RNA, 651 nt
Filed under: uncultured archaeon
Lineage: Archaea
Description: bacterial SSU rRNA
Rfam family: Archaeal small subunit ribosomal RNA
Source: RNAcentral
UCCGACGGUGAGGGGCGAAGGCUGGGGGCGCAAACCGGAUUAGAUACCCGGGUAGUCCCAGCAGUAAACGAUGCCAGCUAUGUGUUGCUGGAACCAUGGGUUCCAGCAGUGCCGAAGGGAAGCCGUGAAGCUGGCCACCUGGGAAGUACGGUCGCAAGGCUGAAACUUAAAGGAAUUGGCGGGGGAGUACCACAACCGGUGGAGCCUGCGGUUUAAUUGGAUACAACGCCGGGAAUCUUACCGGAGGGGACAGCAGUAUGAAGGCCAGGCUAAAGACCUUGCCAGAUCAGCUGAGAGGAGGUGCAUGGCCGUCGCCAGUUCGUACCGUGAGGCAUCCUGUUUAGUCAGGCAACGAUCGAGACCCGCAGUCUUAUUUGCCAGCAUGCCCUUUGGGGUGUAUGGGUACAAUAAGGCGACCGCCAGCGCUAAGCUGGAGGAAGGAGCGGGCUACGGUAGGUCAGCAUGCCCCGAAUCCUCCGGGAUACACGCGGGCUACAAUGGUCAGGACAAAAGGUACCGACCUCGAAAGAGUGAGGUAAUCCACAAACCUGAUCUCAGUCCGGAUCGAAGGCUGCAACUCGCCUUCGUGAAGAUGGAAUCGGUAGUAAUCGUGACUCAAAAUGUCACGGUGAAUAUGUCCCUGCUCCUUGC